GUUUCUUCUUCCUCCUUUCUCUCUUUGUGUUUCUUCUCUAUUCUUUCUCAUCUCUCAAUUCUUCCCCAAACCCAUAACCCUAACCCCAAACUCGGCAACAAGGACGGUAAAUCGGCAACGAGGAAGGCGACGAGUACGGCUUCCAGUUUCUUCCUUUGUUCGUGGAGAUGCCGAACAAUCAUUAUGCUUCAACAUACAAUGUUCAUGGUGAUUACCAGGGAAGACCCUAUCGCAACAUGGUCUCUCAGAUGCCGACUGAUGCUGUUAUGUCUGGCUACUAUGCUCACCAUGAUGGAAGGGGACACUCUAUCCACAUGCAACGUGAUUCUGGUUAUUUUUCACGUGAGAACUAUUGGGACAGAAACCAUGCAAGGGCACCGCAUGACCAUUACCUUCCGAGUGGGAGUUCUUUUGCUCCUGCUAGAACAGGAGGGGGGAGGCCCCACAUUCCACUGCCUCCUAAUGCCUGCCGCACACUGUAUGUUGAAGGUUUGCCAGCCGACUCCACAGAGAGGGAAGUGGCACAUAUAUUUCGACCAUUCAUGGGCUAUAUGGGCCUUAGGCUUGUGCGAAGAGAGCCUAGGCAGCUUGGGGGACAGCCAGUUGUCCUUUGUUUUGUUGACUUUCUCACGUCAGCUCAUGCUGCCAGGGCAAUGGAUCUAUUGCAAGGCUACCAGGUUGAUACAAAUGACAGUGAGUCAGGCUACUUACGGCUGGAAUUUUCUCGCUGUCCAGAUGGAAGAAGACCAGGGUUUGGUGAAUAUGUGAACCAUUGAAUGGUCAUGAUGUUGCUGUCUGUUUGAAGACCUCUUUUUGUUAGAGUCCUGCUCUGAAGAACUCGUGUGCUUGAAACUGUUUUAAGUUUGCAACGAUCGUUUCUGGAAAAAGACUGCCUUUGAAAUCAGAAUCUGUUGAACAGGAAAGGAAUCGAGAGGCAUCGAACUUUGUCGAGCCGUUUAAUUAUGCCUUGAGUGCAUGCCAACCUGUCGGUUGCUUUCCAUCUGGACCCUUGCGGUUGCAAAGUUGACGUGGUGAUUAAUCACUGUGUAUGACAUUUAAUAAUUUGAGAAGAUGCAGUCUCCCUUUCAUCGGUAUGUUCACCCAGAUCUACUGUAUUUUCUAUUUCCAAUUUCAAUAUUGAGAAAGGCCUCCUAAACCUAAAGAAUGAGCUGGAGAUUUCAUAAUUUCUACAAGGUGGUCCGAGUUUGAUGUUUUUGUGCUGCCUACAUUGUCAUCAAUUUUCUCAUAGGCUGGUAUCAAUAGCUGUUUGCUUUGUAUUUUUCUUUGAUGUGACAGCGUAUGCGAGAUUAGAAAUCAGAACAUUCAUAAAUCUGGUAUGCGAGAGUGGUUUUAUGUAUGAUAUUCGCAUACUUCAUAUUUUACAUGUUUGUGAUUUUCCUGAUGAACUGAUAUGUGGGAUGGAACCUGAACAGGGUCUGCUUGCUUAAUAGUUCUCUGCAGCGUGUUGAGUAUAUACCCGUUGCCUCGCCUACUGGAUACUCUAUAUGUCGUGGCACAUAUGGCACUUCCUACCUGGCAGUUUGUCAUAUAUGAACAGUUCUUCUCUGGUAAGUAGGUUGUUUUAUGUGGUUUUUGUUUUUCUAAUUUAGACAGACAACUAGCAACUAUUUGGUUUCAAGAAAAGCUGGCACCUCAGAAUAAAUGGAAGGUAAAUGAAAUAGAAUUGUAGCAACAGGAGAAGUAUACCCAGCAUACUCGAAAUGCCACAUUCCGCACGCAAUUGUGCAUAACCUCAGCAAAACCUUUGCCAGUUUGUUCACAAAUGUGGGUAUGUUACCUAUCUUUUCACUUAUUGGUAGGAUGUAACAUUAUGAGGAGUACUGGUUUUUGUUUUGUUUGUAAACUUAAAACUAUUCUUGGGGCAUUAUUUUUGUUAAAUGUCUCUAGUUUGUUGAGAGGCGAACAAAGUUUGUUCUAUUAUGAUUUAGCCACUGUCAUGGCUCUAGUCACACAACAUUCUAUAGUAUAACGCAUAUCUUAAUAGUAAGGUAGGAUGAUUAGGGUUUUAUAUAGUCAAGAAUCAGAGGUUUGGUCCGUCAUCUUUGACUUUAUUUGAUUCAGCCCAUCUAGUUUGAUUUUAAUAUGUUAACAAAAUUGGUACAGGCAGUUUGAACUUGACUGCAGGUUCUGCUCUGCAUGAUGAACAUGGAAUGAGAUUCUCUUUUGCAUAAAUUACUGACAAUAGGUCAGUAAAGAAUGCAUUGCGACCAAUUUGCUAGCUAUGUUGAAGAUGGUCAAUCUGUGUGCUCAUACUUGCAGGAGUAAAGAAGAGUGUUGUUUGUCUCCAUUUUUGUUGCUUCAGCUAUGGUACGCUUACUUUGUUUUCUUCUUGUAGUUAAAAGGAAAGGAUCCUAAAUGCAGGAGUAGCUGGUUCCAAUUGGUAGUGGUUUCUGUUGGUGUGAUCCUGAGUGGGACAACGGAGCGGGAGCUGUGGGUUAAGAGUAGCAGAGAUUCAGGACGCAAAUACGAUGAUGUGGUUGAUUAUAUAUAGAAGCGGUAUGUGGCACAUUUAUUGCGUGUAUAAAAAAUUUAAGAAUCAUAAAUAAUUAGAUAUUUUUGUUUCAACUUUUA
RNA transcript from Sesamum indicum (sesame), 2592 nucleotides. It is a transcript of the gene named protein MATERNALLY EXPRESSED GENE 5, with no coding region annotated. NCBI's taxonomy places the organism in Eukaryota, Viridiplantae, Streptophyta, Magnoliopsida, Lamiales, Pedaliaceae. The record is from RefSeq and is a predicted model, not a curated record.